AAGAGCGCAGAAAGGAAGUUGUAGACUGGUAACAUCUGUUCCCUACAGUCGCUCUUCAUUUCUACACUGCAAAAUGACCAACUGAAGAACUUCCGGGCACCCCGAAACAAAAUUUCUCCGGACGUGUUCCGAUGUGAUGUGACUCCUAAUUUGUCAACAUAUGAUUUGAUCACAAAUUCGUGUUGAGGAUUCCCUGUAGACCAAAUUUUGUCGUUAAACUUAAAUUUUUAUUCUAUUGACACUCAGAAAUCUAUUGCUGUAUACUGCACAAUGCUCACGUUGGAUAUUUUUUGAACCGCUGGGGGAAAAAAAAAGGUCAGUCGAUGGGAUAUAACAUUUGAAGAGUAUAGGCCUUUACUUAGUUCGAUUAUAAUCCUCCGCUUUCAAAACCAUGGCGUAAUUGUGGAAAUUUUCAUAGCAAACCAUAGUAGUACCGGUAGACCAUUUAAAAAAUGUGAAUUUAUUGAUUACCAGAUCGGACUAAAUGAAAGGAUAAUAAGAGGACAAGACCGACAUGUAAAACGGAGGGUUACUCGUCUAAGGUUUACAACUGAAACAGCAAAAGCGUUGAGCCCAAGUGUUAAGCAGUUGGGGGCCUUCAAAUAUAGUGGGCUAUUUCGAGCGUAAAAACGAGGAUUUCGUCACUAAACGUUACGUGCUGAUGAACUCUAACCGCCCUCCGGCAGCCAGCAUCCUCCGCGACAUAAGUAUCAAUGACAUGGCUGAUGUCAUGCUGUAUGACGUAUACCAAAUGGUCUUAUACUUCUCACACUAUGAUUUAGAAGGACACGGACACUGGCUUUGAAAAAUGUAUCACAAUGUGCUAGUACCGAAUACUUAAACAAUGGCAUGACCAUACUGAGAAAAACCCAGACUGAGCAAGUGGUGCAAUUGCGCAAUGGGAUAGAAGUAACGUUAUUGGGCAACAGACGUAGCACGGCAACACAACUUUGAUCAUAAAUGACUCCGAAUGAUCCCUUUGUUACUUCGUUUUCAUUUUCAUCAACGCUAUUUUUAGACACUAUUUAAAAUAUUAAAAUUUGCAUUUUAAUAUUCACAGAAAUUAUUAAGUUUAAAAUAUUAAGACGCAGUUUCAAAUUCAAAUUUGAUUCGAAUUUUCUAAAUAAGAAUUAGAUUUACACUGGAUUUACACUUAAAUAUAAAAAUACUGCUCCAAUGCAGAUUUCUCCUUGGAAAUCUUAACCAUAGUAAAGUGUUAGUUAAAACUCAGGAAAAUAAACUUUUCAAAAUCUUCUCGACCGUUCCCUCUGUUAAUACCAGUAAAUAAAUUCAUAAAAGGGUGAGUCACAGUA
Long non-coding RNA from Daphnia pulex (common water flea), 1313 nucleotides. RefSeq lists it as uncharacterized. The record is from RefSeq and is a predicted model, not a curated record. NCBI's taxonomy places the organism in Eukaryota, Metazoa, Arthropoda, Branchiopoda, Diplostraca, Daphniidae. The transcript has 3 exons.